RNAcentral lists this ribosomal RNA (292 nucleotides) under uncultured bacterium. RNAcentral's name for it is "partial 16S ribosomal RNA". It matches the Rfam family "Bacterial small subunit ribosomal RNA", at positions 505 to 796 of the family's 1533-position model. The record is from RNAcentral.
GUGUCAGCCGCCGCGGUAAGACGAACCGUGCGAACGUUAUUCGGAAUCACUGGGCUUAAAGGGCGCGUAGGCGGGCCGCAUAGUCAGGGGUGAAAGCCUCCAGCUCAACUGGAGAAGUGCCUUUGAUACUGGCGGCCUCGAGGGGUGCAGGGGCGUGCGGAACUUAGGGUGGAGCGGUGAAAUGCGUAGAUAUCCUAAGGAACACCGGUGGCGAAGGCGGCACGCUGGACACCUUCUGACGCUGAGGCGCGAAAGCCAGGGGAGCAAACGGGAUUAGAUACCCGAGUAGUCC